CGGCCCCCGGCCCCGAUCCCCCUGGGAAGGGAUGGGAACACAGGGCUGCAGGCUGCUGCUUUCUCUCUGAAUUUCAUCAACAGCCACACGGAAGGCAGCAGUUGGGAAAAGCAUGGGCCAGCUUGCAAUCAGAGUUGUAGAGAGGAUACGGACAGCCCCCAAAACUGCAGGUUUGAAAAAGGCCUCGGGCUUUCACCCAAUCAGAAGUGUCUGCAUUACAAAACUGACUUGGGGCAGGGGGGAGACAACCCCAGAGAGACUGAAGGUGCACAGACGGGCCCCCAGGAAGAGCCCUGAUCUCUGUGACCGAGUUUAGGGGGCAGGGCCAGCCGGGAUCGGCCAGCUUCCUGACGUGGUGUAGAUACUCUAACUGAAGAGUUUCAGGGUGGCUGUUACACACGAGCAGCUGACUGACACAGACAACUGAAGCCGGCCAUGGAAAGGAUCAAACACGUCUGAGGCAUCUGAGAUGCUCAGCUCUGGCAGGAAAGAGGAAGAUGAGUUACAGGUGUAGGAACCCAGACACAGUCGGCCGGCUGCUAGGGCUUGAUACGGUGUGUGUCCGUCAUCUCGCUCUUCUGUAACGAGGGGCCACAAAGUCGGAGGCUUAGAAGAACACAGGUGUGUUCUCCCGCGUUCUGGAGGGCCCAAGGCCAAGGUCAGUCUUACGGGGCUGAAGUCAAGGCUCCACAGGCGCGGUUCCUCCUGGACACUACGAGGGGACCUGUGCCUGGUCUUCCAGGUGCGGGUACCCACCCUGGGUCAGGACGCUUGCUCCACCUCCAAGGAUCAGCCUUCCCACCGCUGCUUUCAUGUCACAUGGACUUCUCCUCUCCUGUCCUCGCGUCUCCCUCUGCCUCCCUUGGGAUGACACCGAGGUCACACAGCUAUCCAGGAUGAUCUCCAUCUCAAGACCCACUUCAUUCAUUAACAUCUGUGAAGUCCCUUUUACCAUCCGUGUUCCUUUGCUAAGGAUUGCUAAGGCAUUCUGUCACAGCCUAAGGCUGCUGUGACAACACAGCCCCAAGUAGGUGACUUGAGCAGUGGACAUGUAUUCUCUGGCUGGGAGUGUGAGAUCCAGGCGGGGCUGAGGCUGGAGGUCUGAGAUCCAGGUGCUACCAAGGCUGCUUCCUCCUUUGGCCUCUGUCGUUGGCGUGUAGAUGCUGUGCUCUCCCCGUGUCCUCACGCGGUCGUCCCUCUGUGUGUCUGUGUGCUCGCCUCCCCUUACAAAAACUCGAGUCCUACUGCAUUGGGGUCCGUCCAAUGACUUCUUCAUUUUAACUUCAUCACCCCUUUAAGGACUCCAUCUCUGAAUAGAGUCCCAUUCUGGGGUCCUGCAGGAUUCUCUGCUGAGACAUCAUUUUCCGGCUCGGCUUCAAAUCUUCGAGCUUGUUUAUAUACCCGUUUAAAGGCUGGCAAGGGAGUCCGAUGUCCGGGUACAGGGAAGCGCACAGGUAGAGUGAGAUGUGAGGAGCGGCGAGGCGAGAUGUGAUGAGCCGGAAAGGCUGUUGGCAGGGAGAGGGAUAAGGCCUCCUCGAGGGACGGCGUGUGGUCUGGGAGAGCGACCUCC
Mustela lutreola (European mink) is the source of this 1570-nucleotide long non-coding RNA. RefSeq lists it as uncharacterized. The record is from RefSeq and is a predicted model, not a curated record. Lineage: Eukaryota; Metazoa; Chordata; Mammalia; Carnivora; Mustelidae. The transcript has 3 exons.